UGGUAAUGCCGGAUGCUCCAGUUGAUCGCAUGGUCUUCUGGGAAAGCUUUCGCGGUAUGGGAUGGGGUCGCGUCCUAUCAGCUUGACGGCGGGGUAACGGCCCACCGUGGCUUCGACGGGUAGCCGGCCUGAGAGGGCGACCGGCCACAUUGGGACUGAGAUACGGCCCAGACUCCUACGGGAGGCAGCAGUGGGGAAUAUUGCACAAUGGGCGCAAGCCUGAUGCAGCGACGCCGCGUGAGGGAUGGAGGCCUUCGGGUUGUAAACCUCUUUUAUCGGGGAGCAAGCGAGAGUGAGUUUACCCGUUGAAUAAGCACCGGCUAACUACGUGCCAGCAGCCGCGGUAAUACGUAGGGUGCAAGCGUUAUCCGGAAUUAUUGGGCGUAAAGGGCUCGUAGGCGGUUCGUCGCGUCCGGUGUGAAAGUCCAUCGCUUAACGGUGGAUUCGCGCCGGGUACGGGCGGGCUUGAGUGCGGUAGGGGAGACUGGAAUUCCCGGUGUAACGGUGGAAUGUGUAGAUA
RNAcentral lists this ribosomal RNA (520 nucleotides) under Bifidobacterium longum subsp. infantis. RNAcentral describes it as "bacterial SSU rRNA". It matches the Rfam family "Bacterial small subunit ribosomal RNA", at positions 161 to 696 of the family's 1533-position model. The record is from RNAcentral. Lineage: Bacteria; Bacillati; Actinomycetota; Actinomycetes; Bifidobacteriales; Bifidobacteriaceae.